UGAGGAAUAUUGCGCAAUGGGGGCAACCCUGACGCAGCAACGCCGCGUGAGUGAGGAAGGUUUUCGGACCGUAAAGCUCUGUCGAGCGGGAAGAAAUGCAUGGUGGCUAAUAUCCAUCAUGCUUGACGGUACCGCUAAAGGAAGCACCGGCUAACUCCGUGCCAGCAGCCGCGGUAAUACGGGGGGUGCGAGCGUUGUUCGGAAUUAUUGGGCGUAAAGAGCGUGUAGGCGGCCGAAUAAGUCAGAUGUGAAAUCCCUGGGCUUAAACCAGGAACGGCAUUUGAAAAGAUUUGGGUGGAGUAGGGGAGAGGAAAGGGGAAUUCCUGGUGUAGGGGUGAAAAUCGUAGAAUACAGGAGGAAAAACGGUGGGGAAGGAGAACUUCUGGGCCUAAACCGAAGACGAGAAGGGAGAGCGUGGGUAGCAAACA
This 428-nucleotide ribosomal RNA is filed under the name uncultured bacterium. RNAcentral describes it as "bacterial SSU rRNA". It matches the Rfam family "Bacterial small subunit ribosomal RNA", at positions 355 to 774 of the family's 1533-position model. The record is from RNAcentral.